GAAGAGAAGGGGUGGAGGGAAGGCAAUUUUUUCUUUUAAUUUUUAAUGUUAUUGAUUAAUGGUUAGAAUUGAUGAUGAUGUAACAUGUUUGUUUGAUUGAUUUGUGUGGCAAGGCGAACGGAAUAAUACGGAAAAUAUUGACAGAGAAUUUAAUUAAUUAUUGGAAGGUUAAAAAAACGCUAAACUUACAGGAGUUUGAAUGAAAGGUGAAGAAACCAGAAAAAGCAAAGACCUGCGAGAAGCACAACUGCUCGUCAAUCUCCAACAGCGAUGGACUCGGUACCAGCGGCCAUAGUAGAUCAAUCGGAACAUGACUCCCCUCCAGGGUUGGUGACGGCAGCAGCCGAGGAGGGAAUCGAAGCGGUAGGAGGGUCGGAGGAGGCCAAUGAAGGUAUG
Molecule: long non-coding RNA, 396 nt
Filed under: Linum usitatissimum (flax)
Lineage: Eukaryota; Viridiplantae; Streptophyta; Magnoliopsida; Malpighiales; Linaceae
Description: long non-coding RNA (LUSI_LNC001434)
Source: RNAcentral